This 80-nucleotide non-coding RNA is filed under the name pig gut metagenome. RNAcentral describes it as "pemK RNA". It matches the Rfam family "pemK RNA". The record is from RNAcentral.
AUAAUGAUACUUCUGUCCAGCCACAACCUCAAGUAAUGGGGGCAGUUCUGUGAGAACCACAGAGAGGUGAGAUGCCUAUG